Molecule: unclassified non-coding RNA, 2122 nt
Filed under: Leishmania donovani
Lineage: Eukaryota; Euglenozoa; Kinetoplastea; Trypanosomatida; Trypanosomatidae
Description: gene:LdHU3.29.1190(CDS-product:hypothetical_prote in_conserved)
Source: RNAcentral
AGGGCUGCUGCGUCGACGUCGCGCGCGCGCACACAUACCCACUUUUGUAGGCCCUUCACUGUAAAGCAUAGAACACGCUCUGCAAGGGGGAGUUCCAGCAAGUGUCAUCGAGAGCGAGGCAGCCGACUCCGUCGUCUUUGCCUCACUAACUUUCAUUGCUAGACAAGGACGCGGGCUGAGGCGGCAUCUUUGCCUGCAGAGAGGAGCGAGCGGGUGCCUGUGAGAUUGAGCGAUUCACUGAGGCAAUACUGCUCUGUGCCCACGAACAGCGCGCCCGUUUUAGACGAACUUAGCGCCCCGCCUGUGCAUCGCGCAUUGCCGCGGUCUUCCAGCGCACGUGUGCGUGUGUGCGUGCCCGUCACCGACAAGUUAGUCCUGCACAGGAAUCCAUAUACUUUGCCUUUGCUAUUUAGAGUGCUUCUUCAUCGCGGACCAUGUCGUGUGAGCGCAUCGACCCAAAGGACUUCCACAGUCCUGCCGCAAACCAGUACACGCUGAACUGCCUGGACGAGUUGGCACGCAGCCCAAAGUUCAAAUCCUAUGUGCGCCACGUAGAAUACAAGGAGCGGUUUUACCUCACAUGGUUCCUUGCCCCCUUCACCCUAUUCGGCAUUCUCUACUAUCACCUCAAGAUGUUCGGCGAAGAGGGCGUUUCCCUCUUCAUGGGCUCGCCGACGAGUUCAUUUGCCUCGCUUCCGGCACCGCCUGCAGGAAUGGUGUGUGCUACGGUGAUCUUACUGCUGUUCGCCGUUCCGUGUAUCGUGAUCGCGCCUUUUGCGGGCUUCUUUGAGGAGCCACGCCGUUGGCAGUCCCUCAUCACACUCGCCUUUCUCACGCUCGUGAACAUCGCCGUCGUCUCCUUUGGUGGCAGCCCCUUGCAUUAUCCGCCGUUUGUGACGACAAUGCCUCCUGUGACGGAGCUGAUUGUCUCAUGGAACCCCGUAGAUGUCGCUGCUAUCCUUGUCCGUGACAUCUUUGUCCGCCGCGCCUUGUGCUUGCAGGGCUUUCUUCUGGCCGGCUACACCGUUGCUUUUUGGCGGAGCCGCUUCUGGGAUCGGGUCUGGCAUCCUCCGCUGCCAUUGGUGACCGUUCCGAUCGCCGUCGGUCUUUCAGGGAUUGGGUGGUGGGUGGUAGUGCAGAAGGGUGUGCCGUUGUUUUUCACAGCGGAUGGCUGCCCCACUCUUGUGGCGGAGGCGCUGUAUUGGUCUGCCGUGAAGUCCGAUCCUGCCGGCGCCGCAAGCUUGUGCUUUACAGUGGGCAAGGAAAUCUACCGGCAAGUCGUAAGGGACGCGGCCUCUCUGUGGCAGCAGCGCCAACUCCCCAUGGUGUUGCAGAACCCUUCUGCGUGCAUGUCACUCUAUCUUGCCACGGCGUCGAUGGCGCUCGUCCACGUCUUCGUUCUCCUCGUAAAGCCUGUGGCGGACUUUGUGUUCGGGGUUUUCUUCUUUGUCCUUCCGACGGACCCGACAUUGUGGGGCCUCACGCUGAUCGGAACAAUCGGUGGUGCCGUCACCUUGUGGCGCAUGAAUGAUGGGUUGGUAUACACCCCUCACAUCGCCGGUCUUUGCGCAGUCGCCUUUUCGCUUUUGCUGAACGGCUUUUUUGCCUAAAGCCGGGUGGGGGGUGCGCGAGAGCCGCUCCUGCUGCUACGCAUGAAGUGAGAGAGACAGGCAGAAUAUGAAGGAACCCGGGGUGGUGGCGGCCACAGGAAGAGGGAGAGGGAGGGGCCAACAGGACUGUUUGCUUUGCGUUUGUGCAUGGUUGUCUGACGCGCUACAGUGCGCGUGCGGCCACUCCGUCGUCCCCGCCUUUCCGCUCUCGUGACCGCUCCUCCUUCCAUAGCACAUGCCCUCCACUCGCCUCCUCCCUCUUUUCCUCCUGUGCCAUGUGCAACAAGAGGAUCUGGAGAGAGGCGGCAGGCCAGAUGAAGGCAGACAUCAAAUACGUGUCCAUGCAUAUGUGCGUGCUGGCGUACGCAUACGUCUCCACGCUUCACAUUGAGAGACACUCCACGGCAGUAACAACAUCAAGGUGAGACGAUUGACAAGGAGCAAGUGAAUCGGGUCUUUCUUUCUCCAGACUCCGGCCUGUCAGUCACUAACGCAAACUGAAGAGGAGAAAG